Molecule: ribosomal RNA, 748 nt
Filed under: uncultured bacterium
Lineage: Bacteria
Description: bacterial SSU rRNA
Rfam family: Bacterial small subunit ribosomal RNA
Source: RNAcentral
GAAGGAAAGCUUGCUUUUCUGAAUCUAGUGGCGAACGGGUGAGUAACACGUAGGUAACCUGCCCAUGUGCCCGGGAUAACUUCUGGAAACGGAUGCUAAAACCGGAUAGGUAGCAGACAAGCAUUUGACUGCUAUUAAAGUGGCCUUGGCCAUGAACAUGGAUGGACCUGCGGUGCAUUAGCUGGUUGGUGAGGUAACGGCCCACCGAGGCGACGAUGCAUAGCCGGCCUGAGAGGGCGGACGGCCACAUUGGGACUGAGACACGGCCCAAACUCCUACGGGAGGCAGCAGUAGGGAAUUUUCGUCAAUGGGGGGAACCCUGAACGAGCAAUGCCGCGUGAGUGAGGAAGGUCUUCGGACCGUAAAGCUCUGUUGUAAGAGAAAAACGGCACUCAUAGGGAAUGAUGAGUGAGUGAUGGUAUCUUACCAGAAAGUCACGGCUAACUACGUGCCAGCAGCCGCGGUAAUACGUAGGUGGCGAGCGUUAUCCGGAAUGAUUGGGCGUAAAGGGUGCGUAGGUGGCAGAUCAAGUCUGGAGUAAAAGGUAUGGGCUCAACCCGUACUGGCUCUGGAAACUGAUCAGCUAGAGAACAGAAGAGGACGGCGGAGCUCCAUGUGUAGCGGUAAAAUGCGUAGAUAUAUGGAAGAACACCGGUGGCGAAGGCGGCCGUCUGGUCUGGAUUCUGACACUGAAGCACGAAAGCGUGGGGAGCAAAUAGGAUUAGAUACCCUAGUAGUCCACGCCGUA